CUCAGGAUAGCUGGAACUUAUGAAGAAGUAGUUUUAUCAGGUAAAGCGAAUGAUUAGAGGCUUUGGGGAAGAAACUUCCUCGACCUAUUCUCAAACUUUAAAUAGGUAAGAUUUGGAGGAUACUUAAGUGAUCUUUCAAUACAUUUGAAUAUAAAGUUCUUAGUGGGCCAUUUUUGGUAAGCAGAACUGGCGAUGUGGGAUGAACCGAACGUUAAGUUAAAGUGCCAAAUAAUACGCUCAUGAGAUACCAUAAAAGGUGUUGGUUCAUUUUGACAGCAGGACGGUGGCCAUGGAAGUCGGAACCCGCUAAGGAGUGUGUAACAACUCACCUGCCGAAUGAACUAGCCCUGAAAAUGGAUGGCGCUUAAGCGUAUAACUUAUACUUAACCCUUAUCUGAAUCAUUAUAGCGGAUAAGGAGUAGGAGGGC
RNAcentral lists this ribosomal RNA (428 nucleotides) under uncultured eukaryote. RNAcentral's name for it is "eukaryotic LSU rRNA". It matches the Rfam family "Eukaryotic large subunit ribosomal RNA", at positions 972 to 1390 of the family's 3401-position model. The record is from RNAcentral.